AGAGUUUGAUCCUGGCUCAGAAUCAACGCUGGCGGCGUGCCUCAGACAUGCAAGUCGAACGCGAAAGUUCCCUUCGGGGAGCAAGUAGAGUGGCGCACGGGUGAGUAACACGUAGGUAAUCUACCUUUGGAUGGGGAAUAACCCCGAGAAAUCGGGGCUAAUACCGCAUAAUGCAGCGGCACCUAAUGGUGACAGUUGUUAAAGCGGGGGAUCGCAAGACCUCGCGUCUAAAGAGGAGCCUGCGGCGGAUUAGCUAGUUGGUAAGGUAACGGCUUACCAAGGCGAUGAUCCGUAGCCGGCCUGAGAGGGCGGUCGGCCACACUGACACUGACAUACGGGUCAGACUCCUACGGGAGGCAGCAGUCGGGAAUUUUGGGCAAUGGGCGAAAGCCUGACCCAGCAACGCCGCGUGAAGGAUGAAAUCCCUCGGGAUGUAAACUUCGCAAGAACGGGAAGAAUAAGUAAGGGUUAAUAUCUCUUACGAUGACGGUACCGUUUGUAAGCUCCGGCUAACUCCGUGCCAGCAGCCGCGGUAAUACGGGGGGAGCAA
Molecule: ribosomal RNA, 550 nt
Filed under: uncultured bacterium
Lineage: Bacteria
Description: bacterial SSU rRNA
Rfam family: Bacterial small subunit ribosomal RNA
Source: RNAcentral